AAUAUUGGACAAUGGGCGAAAGCCUGAUCCAGCAAUGCCGCGGGAGUGAUUAAGGCGUUAGGGUUGUAAAGCUCUUUUACCGGGGAUGAUAAUGACAGUACCUGGAGAAUAAGCUCCGGCUAACUCCGUGCCAGCAGCCGCGGUAAUACGGAGGGAGCUAGCGUUGUUCGGAAAUACUGGGCGUAAAGCGUACGUAGGCGGCAUCGUAAGUCAGGCGUGAGAUCCCGGGGCUCAACCCCGGAACUGCCCUUGAAACUGACGUGCUAGCAUCUUGGCGAGGCGAGUGGAAUUCCGAGUGUAGAGGUGAAAUUCGUAGAUAUUCGGAAGAACACCAGUGGCGAAGGCGACUCGCUGGACAAGUAUUGACGCUGAGGUGCGAAAGCGUGGGGAGCAAAC
This 396-nucleotide ribosomal RNA is filed under the name uncultured bacterium. Its description in RNAcentral is "partial 16S ribosomal RNA". It matches the Rfam family "Bacterial small subunit ribosomal RNA", at positions 360 to 773 of the family's 1533-position model. The record is from RNAcentral.